Sinocyclocheilus rhinocerous is the source of this 99-nucleotide long non-coding RNA. RefSeq lists it as uncharacterized. The record is from RefSeq and is a predicted model, not a curated record. The transcript has 3 exons. Lineage: Eukaryota; Metazoa; Chordata; Actinopteri; Cypriniformes; Cyprinidae.
UGAAGCUGCUUUGACUCAAUCUGUAUUGUAUAAAGCGCUAUACAAAUAAAGGUAAAUUGACUUGACUUGUUAUUUGUUUAGCGCACUCCUGAACUCACA